AACAACAAAGAAAAGAAACUAACUUGCACAAUUUUCAGCCUCUGGAGAGCAAUGCACAGUUUCUUCUACAUUUCGUGAUGAUUGUGUUCUAAAGAUACUCUUCUGGACUGUAAAGGUGCUUGACUCGGGUUACUUGGUUGUCCUAUCUCUACAGAUGCAUCAGAUACUCGUCCAGUCUGUAUGUGUGGCUGAGACGUUUCUCUAGAAUUAUCACGUCCUUGAAAAUUUUCACGACCACGGCUCGUCCCGCCUCUCCCACGUUUUCCUCAUCCAAUUCCUCUCAUUUCCUGCAAUAAAACAUACAAAGAAAAUGAUCUACAUUUCGUGACAAUUGUGUGUCUAAAGAUACUCUUCUGGAAUGUAAAGCUGUUUGAAUCGGGUUACAUUAUUUUCCUAUCUCUACAGAUGCAUCAAAUACUCAUCCGGUCUGUAUCUGUGGCUGAGACGUUGCUCCAGAAUUGCCACGUCCUUGAAAAUUUUCACGACCACGACUCGUACCGCCUCCCUCACGUUUUCCUUCUCCAAUUCCUCUCAUUUUCUGCAAUAAAACAUACAAAGAAAUAGAUUGAUCAUAAUAGAGAAAAUAAUAAUUUAUUUUCAGAUGAAUUAUUCUACAUUUUUAUGUGCAUA
RNAcentral lists this long non-coding RNA (630 nucleotides) under Nicotiana benthamiana. Its description in RNAcentral is "long non-coding RNA (NBEN_LNC029761)". Lineage: Eukaryota; Viridiplantae; Streptophyta; Magnoliopsida; Solanales; Solanaceae. The record is from RNAcentral.